AGCAGUCGCCGCGGUAAUACGGAGGGAGCUAGCGUUGUUCGGAAUUACUGGGCGUAAAGCGCGCGUAGGCGGUUACUCAAGUCAGAGGUGAAAGCCCGGGGCUCAACCCCGGAACUGCCUUUGAAACUAGGUGACUAGAAUCUUGGAGAGGUCAGUGGAAUUCCGAGUGUAGAGGUGAAAUUCGUAGAUAUUCGGAAGAACACCAGUGGCGAAGGCGACUGACUGGACAAGUAUUGACGCUGAGGUGCGAAAGCGUGGGGAGCAAACAGGAUUAGAUACCCGUGUAGUCCCUGUCUCUUAUAC
RNAcentral lists this ribosomal RNA (303 nucleotides) under uncultured bacterium. RNAcentral's name for it is "partial 16S ribosomal RNA". It matches the Rfam family "Bacterial small subunit ribosomal RNA", at positions 507 to 807 of the family's 1533-position model. The record is from RNAcentral.